Long non-coding RNA from Humulus lupulus (European hop), 328 nucleotides. RefSeq lists it as uncharacterized. Lineage: Eukaryota; Viridiplantae; Streptophyta; Magnoliopsida; Rosales; Cannabaceae. The record is from RefSeq and is a predicted model, not a curated record. The transcript has 4 exons.
CGGAGAAUGAACAUCAAGACUAGUAUGGCACAACGGGAAGAUAGAAUUUAAAAAACUGUUUAUGUUUCUGACAUUGAUCAACAGGUCACUGAAGAACAGCUUGCAGCUCUUUUUGUCACUUGUGGACAGCUGGGUAAAUUGCUUCCAUGGCCACUACUUCAAGCCUUUUCACUUCCACUGCUUUCUGUUGUUAUUGUGUUGCUGCAAACUUAUGAAAUUCAAGAAAGAAGACAAGCAGUUUUAGGAAACUGAGGCAUUUAUGUGGAGAUCAACUUUCUUAAAAAUAGUGUUCGACUGGAAUUAAUCAAAAAUAGAUAUAGGAUUUCAG